AUAUUCACGAACACACAAAUUAAAAUUAGUUUAUAACAACUGUGACACUAAUAACAAAUCUUCAUAAUGACAAGUGAAUAAUACCCAUUACAUUGUCAAGUAUCAAGUUAUGUCCAUCGUUAGCUACUCAAUUGCAGGAACUCAAAGAAAGACGAUCAUAAAAGAUAAUAGGGAUAUUGAGUGCAGACUUCACAAAGCCCAUUUGCCCAUACGUUCGUCUGAUGAUUCAAGCCCUCGUUUAGAGUCCGGACCAUUAUCCUAUCCACAUCAUUUCACCUUACUUUCUCCAUAUCGAAAGAUAAUCUCGAUAGCGCGAGUCGCUAUUUUCCUACUACUAAUGACAAAAGGCAGGCAAUCGUAGACAUCGGGCCAAUACCAUACACCUUAAUGAGAAAACGUUAGCGCACGCUUGAAUUUUCAUUUCAUUUCACCUCCCUGACAUUUUGCUUUCACGAUAUUAAAUGUAACUCGUAGAGCGAGCUCGUGCUUCUUACAACUUUACAACUAGGCACGACCCGAGAUAGAAUUAACUAGAAUUAAGUGUUCUCGAGUUUUAGUAGCUAUUUGCAUUUAAGCACUUGUUAGAAACUGUAAUUAAAGAUUUUAAUUCUAGGUUUAGAGGAAGUGACGAGACAUUCCCUGUGUUUUUUCUACAAAUUCUGUUAAAGUAUUUUCAAAAGACACAAAACCGAAUCAGUCACUUUACAAUUCAGUCUACAAUUCAUUCUCCUGUAUCUCAUUUUCUACAGUAUAAAUUCUGAUUGUUCUAAAUUGGUAUAAUGACGAACCGAGACGAGAAAGAUCCAUUAUAUACUUGUAGAUAAAUUCCAAGUCAUUACACAGGUGCAGGGACUAAUGAAGUCAGUCAUUCACUCCCAGAUCCCAGCAUUACUGUGAAACAAUCGGCAAAUCGUUGCGGCUAGGAAGUCGCGAGAUUGCGACUCAGUUCAACUUUUUUGUCCUAACAAUGCAAUUUAUAGAGAACAAUGCGACAUUGUACAUACGUAUAAUGUUCAUUAGAGUGAAAGUUUUCCGUUUAACAAUAAAUAAACAAUGAACUCAUUGUAAGGGAACGCUAUAAACUAAGUUAGUACUAAUAAUGCAUUUGAGUGUUUUACCAUCGAGUUCCAAUAGCUUGUUGAAAUUCCGAUGGAAACACGAUAUAUUUUCCUCUUAUAAAAACAUAAAGACUUCGACCAGAGUCCAUGUAAGUAAUAUUUGUAUUAAGGUAAGGCAAUACGGCUAAAAUACUGAUACCUAGAACAAGUAACUCCACUUUCGUAAAGUUCUCAGUAAUAUUCCGUUUCGUAUGUGAAGGUCUGCUCCUAACGGCGGGAUCAAUCGAUUUGCUAGCGUUAGCCGCGCCUGUCUUCACGCCAGCCCACGUUCACGCGCCUUUCUAGCACUUAAACCCUAAUUUGUUUAACCCUAGAGCUUUGCCGGUCAAGUCUGUACCUAUCGCAAAUUAUACCUAAGCUUGAUAAUAGUAUUUCAUCUUAUAUAAAAACACUUUAUCCCCCGAUACCUUUUGGUCUGAUUCGACUUCAUUUACUAAAAUAUAAGUUUUUGUAACAUUGACUUACAUUAAAUUAGGCAAAGGCCACUCCAAUAGCUGAUUAAUUAAUAAAUAUAAAAAAUGUUAAAUUACAAACAAUUAUCGACCAUUCUCCAUGCACUUACACGGCCCAUAGAAUCAAUUACUCCAAGCCUCGAAAUUUAAAUAAACACCGAACUUUCAAAAUCGAUUCGUUUCUGUAUCAAGAGUGAAUAAAUCUCAUCUAGUAUUUAAAUAAAAUUGCUGUAAAGUAAAUGCAAUAAAGUGGAGGCCGCCAUUGACCUAGAAAACUGACACUCGUGCCUCGCGCCGGGUAAAUACAAACAAACAAACCGUCAUAAAAAACCUUUCCAUUGCAGCAUUGCUUACAAAUGUCACAUUAUUUACGUCAAAGGAAUUUGUAACAAAUAACUUCUUUUCUAUGCCAUUUUUUCCAAUCGUCCUCUGUAUCCAAAAAGCUAAUAGUGAGAUACAAAAAGCGUCAAUCAAUUUAGUCACAGAAUCGGAAUAUUAAUUUUAUUGGCAUAGCAUAUACACCACUAUCUAGCUAGGUAUUCAAUUUUAGCAUAUAGUUAUUUCAAGUGUGACUCAUAGGGUGUGUCACAAAUAGAUUUUCGUGUACAGACAGAGUUUUAUUGUGUCUUAAUAACAUAUCCUUUAGUCGUAUGAAUCAUGACUAUUUACAUACUAAAGCUUAUCACACACGUUCUAUUACAGACACGUUUAAAACACAAUUUCGCUAUUUAUGACUUGCUCGCCACUUCGGACUUUAUAUCCCCUUUCUUACGUAAUCUCGUCGACGUGUAUGGAAGCUUGUGAUCGUCAUACAUUAUUUAAUUAAGCAUUUCUACUAAACUUAUAGGAUGUCCGACUUCUCAAAGUAAUAACCGCUUAAUUGCUUUUCCUUUUACUAUUCACAUAUUAAAAUCAAUUACGUAACUCAGGAGUCCGUUGACGUCUUAAAGUUCCAGUAGUGGGAGUGUGAUAGCGCUAUACACUCCGUAGAGCGGCAUCUCCUUCCCACAACUAAAAUAGACUUAUUUUUGGUGGUGGUAGUAGGUUACCUGUUAAGAAUUCUAAAUGGAUGCUAUUGAAAGGAUCUUUAUUUGUUGUUCCUGCGUUUAAUUUUCCAUAUAUGUUGUGUUAUACGUGAUUUGAACGGUUAUCACUAAAUGGAAGGGAACUGGGGACGAUUGUCGUGAAGCAUUUGUCACGAGCUAGGACAGUCGUGCCGGCCAUCACUCGGUGAAAAUCACUCGCAGUAAAUAAUGCGUGAUUCUCUAUCAAGCUAUUGUCUAGAAUAACGGGUUUGUUUGAAGUGAAGACUUGUCUUUGAGGUUUGAUACCAUUUGAGUUAAGGAAAACAAACAAGGAUAUUGGAUCUUGAUCUUAAAGCUUCCAUACGAUGUUUGUAAAACUGUGUUUUUUGGUACUCGCUUGCAAGCUCUAUAAAUGUUGGAAAUUCUGAACUUUGGUCAGUAUAACACGCGUGGGAUUAUAAGCUGACCUUUUCAAAAUUUAUAAUCAACCUAUAUCUAAAUUUACGACAGGCAUAGAUAAUCUAGACUUAAGACAUCCGUAUCAAAUGCCAUGACUCCCGUUAACAUAAAAAAAUAGCUAAAGUAGCAAAAAAUUAUACCUAGAUUUAAGUCUGAUAACUAAGGGUCGGCGCGGUUUUUUUGCUCACGUUUCUCGACGAGAUGCCUUACGUGAAUCUACAGUAGGUCCGCUGACGCAGAAUAUGUCACCUCUUUAAAUAAUAUUUUUGCAGUUUUGUCGCUCGCCGGCAAGAUGCUGUUCAAAAGUAAGAGAUUGUUAUACAUGGUUUUUGAGGAGGUUAUGCCUGUGGACUGACGAUAUAAUAGAAUGAAAUUGGUGAUUGAAUAUUGUGAAAGUUUGGUGCACUAGCAGACAGUGUCAAUAGACCACAAUUCAUUAUUUUCAAGAAUUUAAAUUAUUCAAGUAAGUAUAUAAAAAGGCUAGUCAAAUUAUAGGUCAUACAAGCUUGAUAAAUUAUUCUAAUGAAAAAGAACAGAAUAAAGGCAUUAUUUAUAAAAUAUGUGGCGUAUUUUCAUUAUUAUAUUUAAUAACCUACACUUAAAACCAUCAUUUUGUAACUAUUCGCAAGACAUUGCCAGUACCAUUAAUACUUCUUCACAGCUUACAAAGAAAUUAACUUACAUUGUAAAGAGUUGCUUGUCUUUUUGAACACUUCAAUAGUCAACCUGUCGAGAAAAAUAAAUCUCGCUGCAUGCCUCGUAAUUUAUAUUCUUUCAAGAAGGAUAUUUAAAAAUUGCAGCCCAAGAAUGUCGUAAUGGAGAAAUCGAAAAAUACUUUACCAUAUAAGGGCGUGGACCUUAUACAACCUUAUGUAAGAUGAAUUAAUACAUUACUGCAACAGGUUAGGGCUCUUAGGUCAUCUACCCUUAUCUUAAUACGCUGUUGAUGUAACUCAUUUGCACGUAGUUGAUGUAAUUACAGAUAGCAUUAGCGAUGCAAAUUGCAAAUGGCAUUUCAGUAGAUGUAGUGAGUUCUAAUGUUGGUAUAGCACUUUAAAAUUAAAUGAAUCCUGUUGGAGAGUUUGGAAUUUCUACUCGACUUCAUGGAACUUCAUAGCGACCAGCUUUGAUAACACUAAUUGCUCACCUUCAGCUACAUCUACACUUCUGACUAUAGGGAGAUGUUUGUUGCAUAGUCUACGUUCAGAAAUUGAAACAAUAUGACAUAAAUACCGGCUUUUCAGAAAACAUUCCUAAAUAAAGCAAAACAAAUCGAUACCUUUUAUUACUCUUACUUUGUACGUCGAACACCCAAGUUUCUCCACACAAACAUUCGCGCUACAAAGAACCAUUUAACAAAACAUUCUAAUUAUUAACUGAUAGGAAAGCUACAGAUUAUCUGUGUACAUGUUACUUAAUUACAAGGCGGGCUGUGCAUCGGGUUGGAAACUCUCCCCGUCCAAGCGAUGGUGAAAACACUGUCUUUGUAAUGUACUACAAAUAAUUACUCGUUGCCAGGCUGUUGCAUCUACUUGACCCUCCUUUUGAAAACGUUUUACGUAAGUUGUUUAACACGCUUGCCUCUAAUCCACUUAUGAUUUACAAACACGUUAGUAGUUAGAUUUCGUAAAAGAUUUUUUCAUAAAUUAUAUGUCAAUUGAUAUUGUGAAAGGAAAAUGUCAAUUGACUGCCCAAAAAACUUAAUUGAAUCGUUCUCUGGUUGUCUUGCCCUCUCCUUAACAAGUAGUCAUGAGUUAAGACCUAAAACAACAUGAGUUAAGUUUCUAUAAAAGCUUGGAUUUUUAACUUCAAAAGGGUUUAAAAAAGGUUUACAUUUAUCCCUCCUCUUUCGUCCAUGUAAUACUUCACACUUUCAAUUUCAACUUUGCAAGAAAGUAAAAUGCUUUGUGUAUCUGCAUUCUUUCGUCAUUCUCCAUCGAUUGGAGUAUCCUGUCUGUUCAAAAUGACCUUAUCACUCAAGCCGAACUCUUUAAUGAAUAAUGCUCAUUACUAUCCAAGAGUCGUGAUCAGUUAACAUUAUGCUGACCAUGAAGGUAUGUUAAUAGACGAAAUAUAUAAAUGUCAACUAAACAUCAAUCAUAAUAAUUUAUAACUGUUACCUUACCGUCGUUUCCAUUGUCAUUUCUGUAAUGUCGAACAAAACAAUUGAAAGAAGUUGUUACAAUAAGUAGUGUAAGUGCGAUGGUUGUGCGACUGGCAAAGUAAGACACGUCCAUCAUAUAAUUUUCCGUUUAGUGGACUAUGUUACACGCAACAAGGCAGCAUAAAAGGGAGUAGAUAAGAGUAGUUCGGGUCAGUGCCCCCCCAUUGUGCGAGUUGAGCAACAAUUGCCGGCCAUAUGAUACAGCGGUUAAUUGCGGUGCGACGGUGUAGGAAUAUCAGUCAUAACUAUCAGCAAAGCUCGAAGCCUCCAUUCAUACGCGGUCACGCCUCGAGAGCUUUGUGAUUAUAUCUCGUUUUGCCACAAAUCGAUACAAUCGCGUUAUUACAAAUUGAAUGCGGCGCCGGCGACGGAAUUCCUUCGCCCGCGUUCGAUGCCGUGUUGUUGUUUUGUUUUUCUGUAAUCAUCAUGUCUUCUAUCUGUGUUUGUAUAACAGCAGAUUGCAGGGUACAUAAAGCAGUGCAUAAAGGAACAAAACUGUGACUUCACUUCAUGAUUUGUUGUUUUGUUUUCGAACGUCCUGAAAGCUUUGAUAGUUCAUGCUAACUACGACUAAAAUUGCUUCCAACUUUUAACAACUCGUUCCGUCCCCAGUCCGUUAUCGAUACAUCAGUUUCAAUUAGCAACUUUAGCAUCACAUCGGGACUAUUAUUUACAAACCACUUCCAUAACAAAGCAACGCAGUUAGGUUGUAAACAUCGUAGUUUAACGCACAUAAAAUUCAAUUCAUAAAAAUUAACGGGCACAAGCGUAACCGUUGGUAAAUAAUAAAUAAUAUCUUUAUAUAGGUAAAUUAUAAGUUAUUGUGGUCGAUGGAUCGAUGGAUGGUAGAUACAGGCUGUACACUGUUCAGCGUUCAGCUCUGCCGAUCAGUAACUAGAUGGGGGUU
Molecule: long non-coding RNA, 6125 nt
Organism: Trichoplusia ni (cabbage looper)
Lineage: Eukaryota; Metazoa; Arthropoda; Insecta; Lepidoptera; Noctuidae
Exons: 3
Source: RefSeq, a predicted model, not a curated record